CCUACGGGGGGCAGCAGUGGGGAAUAUUGGACAAUGGGCGAAAGCCUGAUCCAGCCAUGCCGCGUGUGUGAAGAAGGCCUUCGGGUUGUAAAGCACUUUCAGUGGGGAAGAAAGCCUUGGGGCCAAUACCCUCGAGGAAGGACAUCACCCACAGAAGAAGCACCGGCUAACUCCGUGCCAGCAGCCGCGGUAAUACGGAGGGUGCGAGCGUUAAUCGGAAUUACUGGGCGUAAAGCGCGCGUAGGCGGUCUGAUAAGCCGGUUGUGAAAGCCCCGGGCUCAACCUGGGAACGGCAUCCGGAACUGUCAGGCUAGAGUGCAGGAGAGGAAGGUAGAAGUCCCGGUGUAGCGGGGAAAUGCGUAGAGAUCGGGAGGAAUACCAGUGGCGAAGGCCGCCUUCUGGACUGACACUGACGCUGAGGUGCGAAAGCGUGGGUAGCAAACAGGAUUAGAUACCCCAGUAGUC
This 465-nucleotide ribosomal RNA is filed under the name Vreelandella stevensii. RNAcentral's name for it is "partial 16S ribosomal RNA". It matches the Rfam family "Bacterial small subunit ribosomal RNA", at positions 338 to 795 of the family's 1533-position model. Lineage: Bacteria; Pseudomonadati; Pseudomonadota; Gammaproteobacteria; Oceanospirillales; Halomonadaceae. The record is from RNAcentral.